This 245-nucleotide ribosomal RNA is filed under the name uncultured bacterium. RNAcentral's name for it is "partial small subunit ribosomal RNA". It matches the Rfam family "Bacterial small subunit ribosomal RNA", at positions 26 to 285 of the family's 1533-position model. The record is from RNAcentral.
AGAAUCAACGCUGGCGGCGUGCCUAACACAUGCAAGUCGAACGAGAAAGUGGAGCAAUCCAUGAGUAAAGUGGCGCACGGGUGAGUAACACGUGACUAACCUACCCUUGAGUGGGGAAUAACCUGGAGAAAUCUAGGCUAAUACCGCAUAACACCUACGGGUCAAAGGAGCAAUUCGCUUAAGGAGGGGGUCGCGGCAGAUUAGCUAGUUGGCGGGGUAAUGGCCCACCAAGGCAGUGAUCUGUA